This 253-nucleotide ribosomal RNA is filed under the name uncultured bacterium. RNAcentral describes it as "partial 16S ribosomal RNA". It matches the Rfam family "Bacterial small subunit ribosomal RNA", at positions 524 to 776 of the family's 1533-position model. The record is from RNAcentral.
UACGGAGGGUGCGAACGUUAAUCGGAAUCACUGGGCGUAAAGCGCGCGUAGGCGGUUUGUUAAGUGGGAUGUGAAAUCCCCGGGCUUAACCUGGGAAUUGCAUUUCAAACUGGCCGACUAGAGUACGGUAGAGGGAGGUAGAAUUUCCUGUGUAGCGGUGAAAUGCGUAGAUAUAGGAAGGAAUACCAGUGGCGAAGGCGGCCUCCUGGAUCGAUACUGACGCUGAGGAGCGAAAGCCAGGGGAGCAAACGGG